This 253-nucleotide ribosomal RNA is filed under the name uncultured bacterium. RNAcentral's name for it is "partial 16S ribosomal RNA". It matches the Rfam family "Bacterial small subunit ribosomal RNA", at positions 524 to 776 of the family's 1533-position model. The record is from RNAcentral.
UACGUAGGGGGCAAGCGUUGUCCGGAUUUACUGGGCGUAAAGAGCGUGUAGGCGGCCAGGCAGGUCUGUUGUGAAAACUGGAGGCUCAACUUCCAGACGUCGACAGAAACCGCUUGGCUAGAGUCCGGAAGAGGAGAGUGGAAUUCCUGGUGUAGCGGCGAAAUGCGCAGAUAUCAGGAAGAACACCCGUGGCUAAGGCGGUUCUCUAGUACGGUACUGACGCUGAGACGCGAAAGCGUGGGGAGCAAACAGG